GUGACAAAUAUUUUUUAUCAAUGUAAAUAUAUAUUUGGUGAUGAAACAUUUAUUUCAUCAACAUAUAUCUUUAAUAUCUAUUAUUUGUGAUGAGCAUUAUGAAAGAUUUUUUUCAUCAUAAAAGACUUUUGGUGCAAAAAUUGAUCCAUCAUGAUGUUUUAUCAUCGUGAGUAGUUCUUUCUAUCAUAAUGUUCCAUUUUCUUAUUUACAAACAUACUAACAUAGUUGAAAUAUAGCCUUAGCAUGCAACAAAAAUUAAGCUUGAUAGCAAUUGUUAGAUUUAUUGAUUGGCGCAUCUCUUGUCACUAUGCAAAUAAGUAGAUAGCAACAAAAGAGGAGGGGAG
This 344-nucleotide long non-coding RNA is filed under the name Elaeis guineensis (African oil palm). RNAcentral describes it as "long non-coding RNA (EGUI_LNC058569)". Lineage: Eukaryota; Viridiplantae; Streptophyta; Magnoliopsida; Arecales; Arecaceae. The record is from RNAcentral.